GACGAACGCUGGCGGCGUGCUUAACACAUGCAAGUCGAACGGAAAGGCCCUGCUUUUGUGGGGUGCUCGAGUGGCGAACGGGUGAGUAACACGUGAGUAACCUGCCCUUGACUUUGGGAUAACUUCAGGAAACUGGGGCUAAUACCGGAUAGGAGCUCCUGCUGCAUGGUGGGGGUUGGAAAGUUUCGGCGGUUGGGGCUGGACUCGCGGCUUAUCAGCUUGUUGGUGGGGUAGUGGCUUACCAAGGCUUUGACGGGUAGCCGGCCUGAGAGGGUGACCGGCCACCUUGGGACUGCGAUACGGCCCAGACUCCUACCGGAGGCAGCAGUGGGGAAUAUUGCACAAUGGGCGGAAGCCUGAUGCAGCAACGCCGCGAGCGGGAAGACGGCCUUCGGGUUGUAAACCGCUUUGGCCGGUGACGAAGAGUGAGUGACGGUAAUGGGUAAAGAAGCACCGGCUAACUACGUG
This 468-nucleotide ribosomal RNA is filed under the name uncultured bacterium. Its description in RNAcentral is "partial 16S ribosomal RNA". It matches the Rfam family "Bacterial small subunit ribosomal RNA", at positions 28 to 507 of the family's 1533-position model. The record is from RNAcentral.